AAGUGUUAAGUCUUUAAUUUUGAAUCCUUAGCUUACUUUGUAAGUUAAGGCUAGAUUUAAACAAAAAUUAAAGAUUAAAUUAGUAUUGAAUGAAACUUUGUUUAUAUAUCGAUAAUGACGAUAUAUAUAUUAUGUCUUGACCAAUUACGUGCCAGCAGUCGCGGUAAUACGUAAGAGACUAGUGUUAUUCAUCUUAAUUAGGUUUAAAGGGUACUCAAACGGUUCUCUUCGCAUAAAAAGACUAGAGUUAUAUAGAAGAAGGUAGUACCUUAAGUGUAGAGAUUAUAUUUGGUCAUACUCGAGGGACUUAGAAAAGGCGUAGGCAACCUUCUAAGCAAUAACUGACGUUGAAGGACGAAGGCAUAGGUCACGAACAGGAUUAGAUACCCAAGUAGUCUUUGCAGUCAAUGAUGAAUGCCAUAGGUUAGAUAAAAAUUUAGUCUAUAAAUGAAAGUGUAAGCAUUUCACCUCAAGAGUAAUGUGGCAACGCAGGAACUGAAAU
This 502-nucleotide ribosomal RNA is filed under the name Akanthomyces muscarius. Its description in RNAcentral is "SSU rRNA". It matches the Rfam family "Bacterial small subunit ribosomal RNA", at positions 352 to 906 of the family's 1533-position model. The record is from RNAcentral. Lineage: Eukaryota; Fungi; Ascomycota; Sordariomycetes; Hypocreales; Cordycipitaceae.